UUGUGUGCAUCUUACUUUCAUCUCUCUCUUUGAUUCACAGUAAAGAGAAGGCAUCUCUCAUGGAUUCAUCUCGUCCAUCUCCUCACAAAACUGACGCAGCCACGACCGACUCAGCCAUCUCCUCGCAAAACCGACAAAAAUUAACUCCGCCCAUCUCGUUAAUUUACACCAAGCCAUCUCUCGAUCUGUCGAUUCACUUCAAGGUAACAAAAUUAGAUGUGGGUAGAUGGAUUUUCUUACUGUUAGUGUUGAAAUUAUGCUUAAUUUUCAAAGAUUUUGUGUUUUGAUUUUCAAUAAUUGCUUUUUUAGGGCUAAUAAUUUUUGAGGGCCAAACCCUAGAAUCUUCAAGGGGAUUAUUGCGAACUUUAAGGGCUAAUAAUUUGUGCUCACGAAGUGGAUUUUAGUUAUAAUCUUGCUUUAGAAUUUAGUUGGGCAUGGUAUCUAGUAUAUUACUUGGGCAUGGUAUCUAGUAUAGUAGUGUAUGACCACACAACAAGUAAGCACUCUGGAUUGCAAUUUGAUAAGAUUUGCCUCCUUUUUUUUCCCAUUUUUUGCUAUUAGUUAAUAUUUAUUUCAAAGAAGAUUUUUCAUUUGUUUUUCUAAUUGUAGUUCAUCUAAUCUGAAAUGUGGAGGGUGUUGAUUCCAUCUCUUCUUUUCUAAGAUGUUUCCACUUGUGCAUUAGGAGAGCCUUACAUCUGAGAGAUACUCUGGCACAAUAGGAAAAAUGAAUUUUCUACAAAUGGGUAAAAAGUACAGUAGAAUGCUAAUAUCAUAAAUUACUUGAAUUUGGUUAUUUUUUUCUUAAUUAGGCAACAUUUUUGAACCAUAAGUAGGGUGAGAAACCUAGUUACGAAUUAUAUUGCUACUAAUUAUAAGUAGGCCUUAUUUGUUUAAAGUUUAUGUAGUUAACAGCUUAGAUGCUUUGUUGGUGUAGUGAAAAUUGCAUGUUUCUUGUUUGACAUUUGUAUUUGGUUGCACAUCCAUAGUAUCUAACAAUUUAAAAACUUGUUUGUACUCUAGGCAAUUGGCCCAUGCUUACCACAUUUUGUUACUAAUUUAUACAUCUGGAGUUUUUUUUUCUUUUUUCUGAUUUUUAUUCUUAUACAGUAUUUAUGCUUGCUACAUUAAUUCUAUUGAGUGUGGACCUAAUCAUUCUUUUACGAGUAUCUCUUUAGAAAUGUCGGAUCCUGAAUAUUUUUGUUUCACUAAGUAAUCAUGGUUGUGUCUUGAGGUUAUGGCAUUCAAGUAUUAAGAUGAGCACUCAUACAUCUGAUCUCACUCCAUAUGCACUAAAUUCAAGUGAUGUUUUGAGUCUUGGUCUUUUAUCAUUUACUUUAUAAUUUACUAACCUUUUAUUUUGUGAUUAUUGUUUGCAGUUGGGUGGAUGUAUCUGAAUUUUUGAUAGAGCCCUGUACGGCGAGGUUCAACCAUUCCUUAGCUUUAUGUUUAUUUUCCUUUGUUUAAGAAAAGUCUAAAGACCACUUGCUAUGAAAAAAAUAAUCUCUGGAGAUUAUUACGGGAUUAUCAUAAUUGGCUUCUUUUGUUGGUGAAUGAAAUUUAGAAGAGAGAGGAAUAUGAAGACGUGAAAUUUUACUACUCCAAAACUUUCCUCCUAUUCAUUCGCAUAGCUUUUGGUUUAUAGAUUGCAUUUGAGUGUAUGUUAGUAAUGACAAUAUCCUCCUUUAAGUGUAUGUUAAUGACAAUAUCCUCUUUUGUUCUUGUUGUAUGCAUUUUUUUCAUGUAAUGACAAUAUCCUCCUUUGUUCGUUUCUGCAAGUGUACUAGGUGUUGUCUAAUAUUUUUAGGAUGAAUGGAUCUUCUUAGAAAUUUACAAUUUGGUUUUACCUAUUAACAAAAAAAUACAGAUCCCUCUGUUUAUUAUAUGAGUUGCUCAGUUAGAACUCUCUAUAAGGGACUUCAGAAUAAGACUGUCGCAUGAUAUCGAAAAUAAGGAGUUAUGAACUAUGCACACUUAAUAAGUAUUUAAACAACAUAAUAGUUGUCCUCAUAAAAUUUCUUGAAGUUUAUUUCAGCUGGAUAGGAAUGAGAGGAAAAAGAACUGUGAUAGAGAAGAUGCUAACAUGAUGAGACUAUUUUAAUGAUUGUACAAUAAAAGACUGAAAUUGCAUUAGAACUAAGCAAAUUCCAAAAGAAAAUAUCCAACUUGCAGCUAUGAAGUGAGGUAACACCUCUCCACAGAUUGUAUUAAACAAAGUAAGCUGAUAAGCUACUUAGUAAAGAAUUUAAGUUAAAAUAAAGGAAUCAAGAAAAAUAUGAAUAAAGAAAGAAAGAAAAAAGACAUUAUGUUUCUUCCUGCAUAUUCUGCAUAUUCGGAUGGUCUUUAGCCAUUUGAUGUAGUACCUUUUUAAGUGAAGUGCCACUAAUCAAAACAUGUAAUGUAAAGCAUCAAUGUUUUGUCAAAAAAACCACUUCUAACAACACAGACAAAAUAAUCCGUACAUAUGCCAUAUAAUUUAAAUUUUUAGAAAGAAAGAAGAACCUUUCUCAAGUUACAUACACAUCUAACUGGUUUUCAAUUUUAUUACCAUGGUUUGCAUAACCAAAAAAAAUAAUUGCAUACCAUGAUUACGUUCCCUUCUUGGACAAGGUUACAACAAACUAUACUAGAAGUUUAAUUAACCCAAAUGACAAUAUUUACUCCAUCUACAAUAACAUGAUUAAAAUCAAAAACCAAGAAGAAACAAGUGCAAUAAUUAAUUUUAUUCUUCCUUUGUUGCCUAUUGCACGCAUGUUCUCCAUCUCUUGCUCCAUUCUGUUAAUCUUUCGAAGUAAUCCGGGGAUUAUUUACCUUGAUUUGUCACACAUUGAAGGAUCGUACCAACCAAAAUACUAACAAGAAUUGUUCUGUAAACAAAGAAGUUUUCCAUUUUAUGUGCAAGUAAAUAGAAUAGUAGAGAUAAGAGACAAAAUUGGAACCCUAAGACACUCAUAAUUCGAACAUGAUAAAAACCUUCUUCUUGGGUUUGUAUUGGUCAAUGUUGUUUUAAGUUGAGCUCGCCUCUCAUAAUCACAUAGUGCGUUCAUGGUUGCAAAUACAAAACAGAUAAAUUAAGAGUCCAAGAACAAUGACUCAAGAACUUGCAAAUAUAAAAUAGGAAAGCACAAUGGAAAUAGAUUUUUCUAUGAGAGAAUACAACUGAAAAGGCAGUUAAUAUUUAAGGAAUAUCAAAGACGUUAGCAGAAACUUCUGGAACGCUUGUAAUCUAAAAAAUUAUGGGAAUGUAUGUGACAGGUAACAAGAAGUGAAAAACAAAUGAAAGAGAAGGUAAAACUCAAGCAGAAAGCGAGAUUAAAAUAUAUAGGCAAUAUCUGCAACUUAGAAUAUUUUAUAUCAUCUCCAAAACCUCCUGUAACCUUAAUAUAUAGGCCCAAUUUAGAGAUCAACAGUUUACAAAGAAUUUGGUCAUACAUAAGUAAUUAAAAUUUCAGGACACAAGUGACAACCAUAAAUCUACGAUCUUGUAAACAAAAAGUUGGAUAUUUGUCAUACCACUAGUACCUAAGCAUUUUAAUAAGUUUAACCCCAAGAGGUCUCAUCGCCAUCAAAUGCCCAACUGCAACACUGCUUUUUGAACUACUUGAAGAUUUCAUACAAACAUAUACAACACAAAUAAAUCGGGUGUUCAGAUGCAUCCGUAUAUGUGAUAAUACAUACAUAAGGGAUGUACUUAACUACCUGCACAAGAAAGGCAAAUCUUAUCAAAUUGCAAGCCAGAGUGCUUACCUGUUGUGUGGUCAUACACUACUAUACUAGAUACCAUGCCCAAGUAAUAUACUAGAUACCAUGGCCAACUAAAUUCUAAGGCGAGAUUAUAACUAAAAUUCACUUCGUGAGCACAAAUUACUAAGUGCACAAGUAAUAUUCCCUCAGUCCCAAAUUGAGAGCCUUUGUUUCUUUGUUUGUGUAUCUCAAAUAGAGAAUAUUUUUUCUUCUAAAAAUAGACUAAACUUAAUCAAUUGCAAUUAUCUACUUAAUUAAAAGUAGUUAAACUUAACUUUCACUAAAUAUCAAUAUCAUUAUUUAUAGAGUUAAGCAUGGACAACUUUUAUUAAAGUGAAUUCUAAUGCAGGACUCAUAUUUUGGGAAGGGGGGUAUAUUAAACAACAUAUAAGAUCGGAAGGAGGGUGUAUUAAACAACACUUAAUCGAUUGCAACAGACUACAUUAGAAUUCACUUUAAUAAAAGUUGUCUAUGCUUAACUCUAUAAAUAAUGAUAUUGAUAUUUAGUGAAGGUUAAGUUUAACUAAUUUUAAUUAAGUAGAUAAUUGCAAUUGAUUAAGUUUAGUCCAUUUUUAGAAGAAAAAAUAUUCUCAAUUUGAGAUACACAAACAAAGAAACAAAGGCUCUCAAUUUGGGACUGAGGGAAUAUUACUUGUACACUUAGUAAUUUGUGCUCACAAAGUGAAUUUUAGUUAUAAUCUUGCUUUAGAAUUUAGUUGGGCAUGGUAUCUAGUAUAGUAGUGUAUGGCCACACAACAGGUAAGCACUCUGGCUUGCAAUUUGAUAAGAUUUGCCUUUCUGGUGCAAGUAGUUAAGCACAUCCCUUAUAUAUGUAUUAUCACAUAUGUUGAUGUAUCUGAACACCCGAUUUAUUUGUGUUGUAUAUGCGAUUCCCCCAAAAUAGGUAUACAUCACCCAUUCUGAGUCGUUAAUAAGAUGGUACAGAAACAACUACAACUUUAUUAAUACAAUUGUCGUGCAAAAUACGACAACACAUAAACUGUGAGUUUAAAUACAAAUAUUGUCAUCUAGACAAUAUUCACACCCAAAUAAGUUCUCAUUACAAUUAUUGAUACAUUAUUUUACAAAAAUGGUGAGGACUACUAAAAAUAACUUCCUAGGAUUUUCAUUCCAUACCCCGACUAGUACUCACUAUAUUCUCGCCUCCUGAGAAGAAAAAAUGGAACAAAAAGGAAAAUGGUGAGCUCAACUAGCCCAGUAAAGAAUAUUAUGACUAAGAUAAUAUAGAACAAAUAAUCGUUAGUCUUCAACAUGGAAAAAAUCUGAUAAAAUACAAUAGAUAAUAAGUUUCAGACCAAUAUUCGCAGCGGAAAUAAUAAUUUCAUAGAAGAGUUUCGUAGAGAAUGAAAUCUACUAUUAUCUAUGAAUUUAAAAGUCCAUCAUCAAUAUUUUAUCCCUGUAACAUCAAUCAAUAUACAUCAUGAAUCAAAUAUUCAUCUUUGCACUACAGGCUAAAGAUAUUCAUCAGUUGGUCAUAUUCAUCUCAACACCUGUUCAUCUUUGCACUACGGGCCAAAGAUAUUCAUCAUAAAAUCAUUCAUCUUUGCACUACAGGCCAAAGAUAUUUAGUAAUAUCAUCAUUUAGGACUGAGGAUGAUGAAAAAUAUUUUAAAGAAAACGAAUCCUAGUGAAACAAAAGAAUAAAUAUUAAGGAUUCGUACUUUAAACAAUCCAAGUUCAAAAAUACUUCGUAAAUAAUCAUAGUGAAGUAAAAUUCAAGAAUGAUCAAAACAUGGAUACAAUCAAAGCUAGUAUCCAUAAUAGAUAUUUUGGACAAAAAAUAAAAUUUAAUUUUUUUGUGAAUAGUGCCGUAUUCGUGAAUAGUGUCGUAUACAUGAAUAGUAACCCCGACACUAAAAGACAAGAAUUUCACAAGAAAAAUCUUACCAAUACUCUGGCAUAAUGAUAUUAGAAGAAAUAAUAUCAUUAAAAAAAAUAAUAUCCCUUACCUCGAAGAGAAUGGUACUUCUGGCUGGAAUAUCAGAUAUAACGCUGAAGGAACUUGCACCGUAUAGCAACACUCAAAGUAUCAAAAUACUCACAAGAAUACGCUCGAUAAUAUAGAGAGAGAAAACUUCAGUUUCUGGUGUGAUUUUCAAUUCUAACCUAAGCACUUUAUUUAUAGGAAAAUGCUUAGAACACCAAAACAAAAAAUUUAAUAUAAUAUUAAUAUAAUUAUAAAAUUGUCAACCCCACCUUUGAAAUCUGAUUUCAGCUCAUUUAAAUCACAUGUGAGACCCAGUCAACUCAUCAAAAACGUUUUUCUUAAAAAACAUAACUAAAACUUUCAAAAAUCAAUUAUUUUGGAACUUCGGAACUUCAAUAAUUCAUAAUAAAUAGCUAUUUUAUCAGAAAAAUUUGAACCUUACAUCUUUUCUAUAGAAAAUUCUAUUCUCUACAACUUUUUAAGUUUAAGUUUUUCUAAAUUCCAAACAGAAAUUGACCGAAAUCCACAAACGGGCGAUUUUACAAGCUAUAAUCAAAUUUCAGUCAAGAAAUGGGAUCCACAAACAUGAAAAACAUGUUUUAAAUAUUUUUAGUAACAAAAAUACUCUUCCUCCUCAUUUAUUCAUAUAUCCCACAUUCAUUGUAAAAAUAUCACCAUUAUUAUAUUAUUAUAAUAUAAUAAUAUAUUUAAAUGAAUUAUUUAUCAAAAAAGAUAAAAUAUAAAUUUUUCAACAAUUGUCACUUUAAAAUUUUCUCCAUCUACAUCCACAUAAAAUGAAUAUUUUCUUUAUCAUAUAAAUAAAUAAUUAAUUAUUCACAAAUAAUAUUACAGAAUCACAAUAUCGACAACCAGGCCGUUCCCAGGAAAGAGGGGGCUUUCCAAUAAGGAUUUCUCCUUACUGGCACACAAUUAGGUGACCAAACCUCUCCUUAGACAGAAUUUUCUAGACAUUGCCAAUAAUGUUAUCUAAUAAUAUUAUUCAAAUAAUAUGAAUUAUUGAUCUGAUAAUGGAAAAUACUGUGUAGUGACAAUUAUUGAAACAACAACAAUAUAAAAUAUCAACGCAACAAUUAUUGAAUCAAUAAUAUAAAAUAUUGAACAGUAAUUACUGUAACAAUUAUUGAGUAGUGCCUUCUUACGUAAGAAUCAAUAAUUGGUGCAAUACCGUGUGCUACUGUGUUUUAACCACCGGGUAUUCCAACAGUAUUAACGGUAACAACUACGCCGUUAUUUAUAACCAACUUAUAUUUGUCGUUUUCCUUCAUAUAAUCGCUUUUUGUUAUGGGGCCCACACAAGGCUGCGCCGUCAUACGAAUAUUCCCCGACAGUAAGAAUAUUCCAUGACCAAACGAAUAUUCCCCGACAAUAAUAAAUAUUUUAUAACAACUUGCUUAUUUGAAAUAUUUGCGCAUUUUACCCAUAACUAACCACAUUAAUCAAAUCAACCCUUACUAUUUCAAAAUAAUAAAUAGAGGAAAUUCAAUUUCAUUUAUAAUAAGUUGGCGUCUUACAACCUCCCCUCCUUAUGAAAUUUCGUCCUCGAAAUUGACAUACGUACCUGGUGUUUCGAAAAGGUGAGGAUACCUCGUUUUCAUUUCCGUUUCCAACUCCCAGGUCAUUUCCUCUAUAGCAUGGUUCCUCCACAAAACUUUGACUUAUGGUAUGACCUUUGUGCGUAGGACAUGCUCCUUCAUAUCCAAGAUUUUGACAGGUACCUCUUCGUACGUUAAGUCUUCGGCUAUCUCGUCCGGUUUUAACUCAAUAACGUGGUUCGGGUCUUUCACAUAUUUACAAAGCACAGAUAUGUGAAAAACAUUAUGAACACGAGACAUGCUUGGAGGUAAUGCGAGUCUAUAGAACACAUUUCCUACUCGGUCAAGAAUUUGAAAUGGACCAAUAAAUCGUGGAUUGAGCUUUCUUCUCUUCCCAAAUCUUGUAACUCCCUUCCAUGGAGCAACACUCAACAAUACAUGAUCCCCAAUACUAAAUUCCACGUCCUUUCGAUGAAGAUCCGCAUAACUCUUUUGUCAAAUCUGUGCCGUUUGUAUACGUUGUCGAAUCAUUUGGAUCUUUUUCGUAGUCAUACGUACUAACUCGGGUCCCAACAAUGUUGUUUCACCCACUUCAUCCCAACAUAUUAGAGAGCGACACUUUCGUCCAUACAAUGCUUCGAAUGGAGCCACACCUAUACUUGUCUGACAACUAUUGUUGUAGGAGAAUUCCACCAAUGGUAAAUACUUAUCCCAACUCCCUUUGAAGUUUAGGACACAGAGUCUUAAUAGAUCUUCAAGAGUUUGAAUAGUCCUCUCUGAUUGUCCGUCUGUUUGAGGAUGGUAUGCUGAACUGAAUCGUAAAUCCGUGCCCAUAGUUUUUUGCAAACUAACCCAAAAUCGUGAAGUGAAUCUUGGGUCACGAUUCAAAACAAUGGAUACUGGCAUGCCAUUUAAUCUCAUAAUUUCAUUUACAUAUAUAUGAGAAAGACGUUCAAGGGAAUAAGUCUCCCGUAUCGGCAAGAAAUGAGCAAACUUGGUUAAUCUAUCAAUAAUAACCCAAAUAACCUUUAUACCUUGAGAAACCGUGGGAAGACCCGUAACGAAAUCCAUGGUAAUGUGUUCCCACUUCCAUUUCAGAUUCUCAAGUGGUUGCAAUGGACCCUUAGGUACUUGAUGCUCCGCCUUUACACGUUGACAUGUUAAACACCUCGAGAAAAACUUUUCAAUCUCUCUCUUUAUAUUGUUCCACCAAAAUGUAUGUCGAAGAUCACGAUACAUUUUGGUACUUCCAGGAUGGAUUGCAAACGGUGUAUUUUGUGCCUCCGUUAUGAUCUUGUAUUUCAAAUCAAAGUCAUUAGGAACACAAAGUCUGGAGUGGACUCCAAGUAUUCCUUCUUCAUCGAUUCUCACUUCUGGAAUAACACCUUCUUGUACUUUUUUCUUCAUACGCAUCAGCUCUGGGUCGGUGGCUUGAGCAACUUUAACUUUUUCUAUUAAAGUUGGCUCUAUUCGUAUACUUGACAUCAUCACAUGGGUCCCAGGAGUCUUGAAUUCUAUCUUCAUCUUUUGUAAAUCAUACAAAAUGGGCCUUUGUGUUGACAACAUCGCACUUGUUCCCGCAUAUGAUCUUCUACUCAACGCAUCAGCUACCACGUUCGCUUUUCUAGGAUGGUAUUGAAUAGCGUGGUCGUAAACUUUCAACAGCUCGAGCCAACGUCGUUGCCGCAUGUUGAGUUCCUUUUGGGUGAAGAAAUAUUUGAGGCUUUUAUGGUCUGAAUAUAUCUCCACUUUCUCUCCAUAUAGAUAGUGCCUCCAGAUCUUUAGCGUGAAAAUGACUGCUGCCAACUCUAGAUCAUGAAUAGGAUAAUUCCUCUCAUAUUCUUUAAGUUGUCGUGAGGCAUAGGCUAUGUCUUUCCCAUGUUGUAUGAGAACACAUCCUAACCCUUUCCCCGAAGCAUCGCUGUAGAUAACAAAUCCAUCCGAACCAGAUGGUAUUGUCAGAACACGUGCCGAAAUAAGUCUCCUCUUAAGCUCUUGAAAACUCUUCUCGCAUUCCUCGUUCCAUACGAAUUUUGUAUCUUUCCGAGUCAGCUGAGUUAAUGGAGUAGCGAUUCGAGAAAAUCCUUCCACGAAUCUCCGAUAAUAACUAGCUAAGCCCAGAAAACUACGUACUUCGGGCACCGUCUUCGGUUGCUCCCAACUUUGUAUUGCUUCAAUCUUUGCUGGGUCCAUAGAUACUCCAUGUUUUGACACCACGUGCCCAAGGAAUGCUACUUCCUCAAGCCAGAACUCGCAUUUCUUCAACUUGGCAUAUAGCUUGUUUUCACGAAGCCUUUGGAGUACCAGCUUCAAAUCGUGCUCAUGAUCUUCACGACUUUAGGAAUAUAUGAGGAUGUCAUCAAUAAAGACAACCACGAACUGAUCCAAAUAUUCCUUGAAUACUCGGUUCAUCAUAUCCAUGAAAGUCACAGGACCAUUAGUCAAUCCAAAAGACAUGACUAAGAAUUCAUAAUGCCCGUACCGAGUUCUGAAGGCAGUAUUUGGAAUAUCCUCAGUUCUAAUCUUUAGCUAAUGAUAUCCAGAACGAAGAUCAAUCUUUGAAAAGAAUUGCGCUCCUUGCAACUGGUCAAACAGGUCAUUAAUGCGAGGUAACAGAUACCUAUUCUUGAUGGUGACAUGGUUUAAUUCUCGCUAGUCAAUACAAAGUCGCAUACUUCCGUCUUUCUUCUUUACAAAUAAAAUAGGAGCACCCCAAGGAGAUGUACUAGGACGAAUGAAACCGAUGUCCAAUAACUCUUGUAGUUGAACCUUUAACUCCUGAAGUUCAAUAGGAGCCAUUUGAUAUGGGGUUUUUAGAAAUGGGCUUUGUACCAGGUUCAAGAUCAAUAAAGAAUUCAACUUCACGUUCUGGGGGUAGACCGGGAAGUUCUUCAGGAAAUACGUCAGGAAAUUUAUUAACAACAGGAAUAUUAUUCAAAUCUGACGUGUCUUUAUUCAAAUCCAUAACAUUGGCUAAGAAAGCUUGACAUCCGUUUUUUAAUAAAUAAAUGGCUUUAUGGCUUGAUAUAACAGUGAUUGAUUUUAGUGGUUUAGUUGCUUGAAUUCGCACAACAGGUUGGUUAAGAAUAUGAAAACUAACAACCUUACGAAAAUAAUCAAUUUUGGCAUGAUGAGUAGUUAACCAAUUAAUCCCUAAAAUCACAUCAAAUGCAAGUAUCUUUAAAGAGAUAAGGUCAACAGGUAAGGUGAUGGUGCCAACUUGGAUCAAACAAGAUUUAUAAACAGUGGAUGUAAUGAAAUUUUCUCCUAACGGAGUCUCCACAGAUAAAUCAAAGUCUAAUUUCUCCGGAGUCAAGUUUAAACGUUGAGCACAAGCAGGAGAGAUAAAUGAAUGGGUAGCACCGGUAUCUAGUAAGGUAUAAACUUCGCAAGAAUUUAUGAUUAGCUUACCCGUGAUUACCUCAUUUGGGUUCCUCACAUUUUGACCAGUCACGACAAACGCUCUUCCAGGAACCGUUGACUUUGACUUUUCUGGGACAGCCUUUUGAGUCACCAUCCCCCCUGGACUUGGUUUCGUUACCGUACAAUCUCAAGUGAUAUGUCCUUCUUUUCCACAAUUAUAGCAUACCUUGAACUGUUGUGGACAGUUUGGGCUAAUAUGCCCCUCUUUUUCGCAUUUAUAGCAUACGACCGGUGGUCAUUCUCCUCCCUUAGAACCAGUUGCUGCUGGUACUGACGUCUUCGCAUGGUAAUUGUUGAAUCUCCUCUUUUUAAAAUCUCCUCCCGACUCGCUUCUUCUAUUCUCAUGGCCAUGAUUAUCACCAGAGUGGUUGCCGCUUUUGUCCGUAUUUUUAUUUCUCUGUUGGUUAUCGUUGUUCUGAUGACUGAUGUCACCGGUAUGACUUUGGUUGUGGUCCUUCGAUUAAACGUACUCGUUAUAUCGCUCUAAUAAUUGAGCCAUGUUGACAACAUCUGAAUAUAGAGAAAAUUUAUGAGAAAUGAGAUACUGACGUAUGUCGGGUUUCAAACCUCACAAAAACAUCCGCGUCAUAAGUUCCUUAUUCUCCACCAAAUGAGGUUCAAACCUGGAUAACUCUGCAAACUUCGCCUCGUACUAGGACACCGUCAUGUUGUUUUGUUCUAGUCUAAUAAACUCCACUUCCUUCAUAUGACGAAUACUUUCAGGAAAGUACUUGUCAUUGAACAGUUUCUGAAACGUCUCUCAAGACAUGCUAAGUGUGGCUGGAUGGGUACGCUUCACAGAUUCCCACUAGUAAUCUGCCUCAUUAUGGAACAUAAAAAUGGCGAAUGGAACCUUCUGUUCCUCCAUGCAUCCCAAGACAUCGAAUAUCUUGGUGAUUUAUUUGACCCACGUUUCUGCCUUAAUCGGAUCCGGCUUUCCCCAAAAUUCUGGUGGUCCCAACUCUUUGAAAUGCUUGGCGGUGACAAACCGUGUGUUGUUAUCAUUUCCACCUAUAUUUUGUGCACGAGUCUCCCUCGUCUGAUUUUGCAUGAACUGAAAAAAGCUUCUAAACAUCCUGUCAUUAAUCAUCUGCUCAGUGGUGUUGUUCACAGGAGGAACAUUGUCAGCCUGUUGCACGUUCUCCUCGUUGGUGAGUAAAGGUGUCUCCACGGUUUCAUUUACUCCACUAUUAACAUUCUCAGUCGACAUUCUCAAAUACUGCCAUAAAACAAAGGUUAAUUAAAAAAAUCAACAUAUCACAUAAUAUCCCUAUAUACUGACCAACCAACAAAUAAGCUUAGGUAAGACACACUAGCGAAGGUUUUACUCGUCUCUCCCCUCCUAGUUCUAUUCCCCGAUCUCCGCCAGAGAUCAUAUUCCUAAGCUCUUAUACCAACUGUGACGCCUCCAAAAUAGGUAUACAUCACCCAUUCUGAGUCGUCAAUAACAUGGUACAGAAACAACUACAACUUUAUUAAUACAAUUGCCGUGCAAAAUACGACAACACAUAAAUUGUGAGUUUAAAUACAAAUAUUGUCAUCUAGACAAUAUUCACACCCAAAUAAGUCCUCAUUAAAAUUAUUGAUACAUUAUUUUACAAAAAUGGUGAGGACUACUAAAAAUAACUUCCUAGGACCUUCAUUCCAUACCCCGACUAGUAUUAUCAUUUGGGUUGAUUAAACUUCUAGUAUAGUUUGCUGUAACCUUGUCCAAGAAGGGAACAUAAUCAUGGUAUGCAAUUAUUUUUUUUGGUUGUGUAAACCAUGGUAAUAAAAUUGAAAACCAGUUGGAUGUGUAUGUAACUUGAGAAAGGUUCUUCUUUCUUUCUAAAAAUUUAAAUUAUCUGGCACAUGUACGGAUUAUUUUGUCUGUGUUGUUAGAAAUGGUUUUUUUGACAGAACACUGAUGCUUUAGAUUACAUGUUUUGAUUAGUGUCACUUCACUUAGAAAGGUACUACAUCAAAUGGCUAAAGACCAUCCGAAUAUGCAGAAUAUGCAGGAAGAAACAUAAUGUCUUUUUUCUUUCUUUAUUCAUAUUUUUCUUGAUUCCUUUGUUUUAACUUAAAUUCUUUACCAAGUAGCUUAUCAGCUUACUUUGUUUAAUACAAUCUGUGGAGAGGUGUUACCUCACUUCAUAGGUGCAAGUUGGAUAUUUUCUUUUGGAAUUUGCUUAGUUCUAAUGCAAUUUCAAUAUUUGAUUGUACAAUCAUUAAAAUAGUCUCAUCAUGUUAGCAUCUACUCUGUCACAGUUCUUUUUUCUCUCAUUCCUAUCCAGCUGAAAUAAACUUCAAGAAAUUUUAUGAGGACAACUAUUAUGUUGUUUAAAUACUUAUUAAGUGUGCAUAAUUCAUAACUCCUUAUUUUCGAUAUCAUGAGACAGUCUUGUUCUGAAGUCCCUUAUAGAGAGUUCUUACUCAGCAACUCAUAUAAUAAACAGAGGGAUUUGUAUUUUUUGUUAACAGUUAAAACCAAAUUGUAAAUUUCUAAGAAGAUCCAUUCAUCCUAAAAACAAUAGACAACACCUAGUACACUUGCAGAAACAAACAAAGGAGGAUAUUGUCAUUACAUGAAGAAAAUGCAUACAACAAGAACAAAGGAGGAUAUUGUCAUUACUAACAUACACUUAAAGGAGGAUAUUGUCAUUACUAACAUACACUCAAAUGCAAUCUAUAAACCAAAAGCUAUGCAAAUGAAUAGGAGGAAAGUUUUGGCGUAGUAAAAUUUCAUUCACCAACAAAAGAAGCCAAUUAUGAUAAUCCCGUAAUAAUCUCCAGAGAUUAUUUUUUUCGUAGCAAGUGGUCUUUAGACAUUUCUUAAACAAAUGAAAGUAAACAUAAAACCAAGGAAUGGUUGAACCUCGUCGUACAAGGCUUUAUCAAAAAUUCAGAUACAUCCACCCA
RNAcentral lists this long non-coding RNA (13566 nucleotides) under Panax ginseng (ginseng). RNAcentral describes it as "long non-coding RNA (PGIN_LNC000985)". Lineage: Eukaryota; Viridiplantae; Streptophyta; Magnoliopsida; Apiales; Araliaceae. The record is from RNAcentral.